UACUGGGCAUCGACAAAUUGUGUCUACAAUUAAUGCAGCGCCAUGUUCGGUUCGGUAAAAGGCAUAUAAGCGGUAUUUCAAGACAACUCUUUGUGUCAUUUCAAGUCGCCCCGUCUCGCGUGUCAUGGGGAGGGAGGGGGGUGUGGAGGCGUCGAAAGGAGGGGAAAUAGGUAGAGGAGGCGGUGAGUCGAGGAGGUGGCGGCACCGCGGCUAAGUCUCUGUGACGGCUGCCGCCACACCGUCUAGCUUGACCCCGUUCAGCUAGGCCGUUUCGUAUAUCCAUUGUUUAGUUGUCUUGAGCAGUUUGGGCAUGGUCUAGCCUUUAUAGGUAGAGCUAUGACUUGAUAUAAGUAGAGUAUAAGGGGUUAAGAAACGACUCGAUACGAUUUUUUUGCCCCCGCCUCCUGCGCCGGUGGACCAACCGCAGUUGCCGCUCGCAGGCUGUCCGGCAGUCAGAGUAAGUCAAAAGACAGCGGGGCGGGAUCUACUUCCACAACACAAUCGACUACCGUGCCUCGAGCAUGGACGUUGAUAACUGUUUCGUACAAUCCAUGUCCUUAUAACUUUCUACUGACCGCUUCAUACCAUGUAGGGUACCCUGUUUUAGUUAAAUGGAAGACCACAGUGGCGAGAUGACUUUAGUAGGUAGUCCUGACCGGGUCGUAACAGAUAAGGCUCCAGUAUACUCCCUUGGAGACACAAUUCGCGACGUAAUCCCGGUAUAUGGGUAACGGAUGGUAGACGACGAAACCGGACCUAACCGUAAACAAGUACGUGGUGUCACAGUAAACAAUGAAGUAACAGAACCAGACGACGGCGCUGGUCAGGAAGGUCUAAGAAUUAGCGGCCCUGUUUACCGGCUUGCACCACUUUUACCGCUGAGAAGAGGCCUGAGAAGUCCACCUAGACUAUCCGUACCAGUCUUUGUUUAGUGAGUCGUACCUAGUGACGUGCAAGCUGGAUAUACUACCGUGACCCAGGCAAUUACAUAUGAAGACCAAACUACCGGCAGUUCUGAGGUUCCUACGAACCAGCAAGUUGCUUCCGUACAUACAUGCACAACAACCCUCCCGAUGGUCAAACCUCGUUAAAAAGGUUUAGUUUCGGAUGUACCAGUCCUGGCAUUUCUUGAAGUUACUAUAUUGGGUAGUGAAAUAGAUGACGUAGUUCCGGGUAUAGCUAUAAAGAUUCGUCUCGUCUGAUUUCGAAGUCCUUUUAAGGCAACGGUGGGGCAGUCGUAGUUGGCAGUACGGUUCCAUAGUCUAACGAGGCUCGGUCUAUGGUCUUCUAACGUCGAAACUCCUAUUCUAUAAAAGGUAAAACGCGCUGGGUCGUAUGGCACUGUACCUAGUACCCCAUUCAGAUUUCGACGAAGCGUCGCGUGAACCGCGUUCAGUUCUGCUAUAGUACUUUCAUUAUUAUCUCGUUUAGGCUGAGCCACUCUACAUGUGAUGAUAGCCACUUGCGGUAAAGUUCAGAAGUUUGACUUCUGCAAGUAACAUAGCAGCGUUACGAUACCCACUAUGAAGCAAAAACAGUGGUCGGGGUUGCGGGGGGAACGUUUAGACGACCAAAGUCUGAUUAAUCCGGGCAUAAUAAAAACAUUAUUAUUAAUAGUUGAGUCACUAUAAUAGAACGAUCCCGAAAAACAUGGGGUAACCCUUCCUAAUAAAACGUGAAGUAACGAGGUGUACAAACACAUUUCUACAUUAGGGUGAGGAACUAAUUAGACCAAGAUCUCUAUCACGG
RNAcentral lists this ribosomal RNA (1749 nucleotides) under Triticum aestivum (bread wheat). RNAcentral describes it as "partial small subunit ribosomal RNA". Lineage: Eukaryota; Viridiplantae; Streptophyta; Magnoliopsida; Poales; Poaceae. The record is from RNAcentral.